AUUCUUUUGUGAUUCAUAAGCAUGAUGGCUGGGUUUUCACAUCACUGUGUGAGACGGCCUCCCUUAAACCUUGUUACACUAUCCUAGUAUGACCCAUCUGACA
Small nucleolar RNA from Tupaia belangeri (northern tree shrew), 103 nucleotides. NCBI's taxonomy places the organism in Eukaryota, Metazoa, Chordata, Mammalia, Scandentia, Tupaiidae. The record is from Ensembl.